GAUGAACGCUGGCGGCGUGCCUAAUACAUGCAAGUCGAGCGAACAGACGAGGAGCUUGCUCCUCUGACGUUAGCGGCGGACGGGUGAGUAACACGUGGAUAACCUACCUAUAAGACUGGGAUAACUUCGGGAAACCGGAGCUAAUACCGGAUAAUAUAUUGAACCGCAUGGUUCAAUAGUGAAAGACGGUUUUGCUGUCACUUAUAGAUGGAUCCGCGCCGCAUUAGCUAGUUGGUAAGGUAACGGCUUACCAAGGCAACGAUGCGUAGCCGACCUGAGAGGGGGACCGGCCACACUGGAACUGAGACACGGUCCAGACUCCUACGGGAGGCAGCAGUAGGGAAUCUUCCGCAAUGGGCGAAAGCUUGACGGAGCAACGCCGCGUGAGUGAUGAAGGUCUUCGGAUCGUAAAACUCUGUUAUUAGGGAAGAACAAAUGUGUAAGUAACUAUGCACGUCUUGACGGUACCUAAUCAGAAAGCCACGGCUAACUACGUG
This 497-nucleotide ribosomal RNA is filed under the name uncultured bacterium. RNAcentral's name for it is "partial 16S ribosomal RNA". It matches the Rfam family "Bacterial small subunit ribosomal RNA", at positions 28 to 507 of the family's 1533-position model. The record is from RNAcentral.